This 508-nucleotide ribosomal RNA is filed under the name uncultured bacterium. RNAcentral's name for it is "partial 16S ribosomal RNA". It matches the Rfam family "Bacterial small subunit ribosomal RNA", at positions 28 to 523 of the family's 1533-position model. The record is from RNAcentral.
GAUGAACGCUAGCUACAGGCUUAACACAUGCAAGUCGAGGGGCAGCGGUAUCGAAAGCUUGCUUUCGGUAGCCGGCGACCGGCGCACGGGUGAGUAACGCGUAUCGAACCUGCCUCAUACUCGGGAAUAGCCUUGCGAAAGUAAGAUUAAUGCCCGGUGUUUUCAGAGUCCCGCAUGAGGCUUUGAACAAAGAUUUAUCGGUAUGAGAUGGCGAUGCGUCCCAUUAGCUUGUUGGCGGGGUAACGGCCCACCAAGGCAUCGAUGGGUAGGGGUUCUGGGAGGAAGGUCCCCCACAUGGGAACUGAGACACGGUCCAAACGCCUACUGGAGGCAGCAGUGAGGAAUAUUGGUCAAUGGGCGGAAGCCUGAACCAGCCAAGUAGCGUGCAGGAAGACGGCCCUCCGGGUUGUAAACUGCUUUUAGUUGGGAAUAAAACGGGGCUCGUGAGCCCCCUUGCAUGUACCAUCAGAAAAAGGACCGGCUAAUUCCGUGCCAGCAGCCGCCGUAA